Molecule: ribosomal RNA, 397 nt
Filed under: uncultured bacterium
Lineage: Bacteria
Description: partial 16S ribosomal RNA
Rfam family: Bacterial small subunit ribosomal RNA
Source: RNAcentral
AUACGUAGGUGGCAAGCGUUGUCCGGAAUUAUUGGGCGUAAAGCGCGCGCAGGCGGUCCUUUAAGUCUGAUGUGAAAGCCCACGGCUCAACCGUGGAGGGUCAUUGGAAACUGGGGGACUUGAGUGCAGAAGAGGAAAGUGGAAUUCCAAGUGUAGCGGUGAAAUGCGUAGAGAUUUGGAGGAAAACCAGUGGCGAAGGCGACUUUCUGGUCUGUAACUGACGCUGAGGCGCGAAAGCGUGGGGAGCAAACAGGAUUAGAUACCCUGGUAGUCCACGCCGUAAACGAUGAGUGCUAAGUGUUAGGGGGUUUCCGCCCCUUAGUGCUGCAGCUAACGCAUUAAGCACUCCGCCUGGGGAGUACGGUCGCAAGACUGAAACUCAAAGGAAUUGGCGGGG